This 448-nucleotide ribosomal RNA is filed under the name uncultured bacterium. RNAcentral's name for it is "partial 16S ribosomal RNA". It matches the Rfam family "Bacterial small subunit ribosomal RNA", at positions 329 to 792 of the family's 1533-position model. The record is from RNAcentral.
CUCCAGACUCCUACGGGAGGCAGCAGUGGGGAAUAUUGGGCAAUGGGCGAAAGCCUGACCCAGCAACGCCGCGUGAAGGAAGAAGGCUUUCGGGUUGUAAGCUUCUUUUGACAGGGAAGAGCAGAAGACGGUACCUGUCGAAUAAGCCACGGCUAACUACGUGCCAGCAGCCGCGGUAAUACGUAGGUGGCAAGCGUUAUCCGGAUUUACUGGGUGUAAAGGGAGCGUAGACGGCUGUGCAAGCCAGAUGUGAAAGCCCGGGGCUCAACCCCGGGACUGCAUUUGGAACUGUGUGGCUGGAGUGUCGGAGAGGCAGGCGGAAUUCCUAGUGUAGCGGUGAAAUGCGUAGAUAUUAGGAGGAACACCAGUGGCGAAGGCGGCCUGCUGGACUGUAACUGACGUUGAGGCACGAAAGUGUGGGGAGCAAACAGGAUUAGAUACCCGAGUA